Long non-coding RNA from Ictalurus punctatus (channel catfish), 1917 nucleotides. RefSeq lists it as uncharacterized. The record is from RefSeq and is a predicted model, not a curated record. The transcript has 3 exons. Lineage: Eukaryota; Metazoa; Chordata; Actinopteri; Siluriformes; Ictaluridae.
AGAAUACUUGGGAUCUUCUUUGGCACAGAUCGAUAUAUGCAGAAGAACUGGGAUGGAUUGACCAAUAAGGUUCUAGAAAAUCUAAAUAGAUGGAGAUGGAUUCAAUCACAGCUGUCCUAUAGGAGCAGGGUCCUAGUGAUAAACAACUUGGCUGCCUCGAUGCUGUUGGCUCAAAUUUAGCCUAUUACCCCAAAACACUUAAAAUUCAACUUAGAAGCCAAUACUCACAUCUACCUCAGAGCCCAGUUGGAGAUAGAAAAAAAUACACCAGCCGUGAGUGAGAAGAAGCAAGGGUCCAGAUUUAUUGUUCCGUUCCACCACACGAGAUCCACACCGAUGAGAAUUCUCAGAAGUGAUCCCCCUACCCUGAGCUUAAGCUCCAGUAUUUAUACUGUAUUUACACACUAAAUAGCCCAUAUGUUUCAAGAAGACUAUGAUCUCACUACCAAUAGGGUUGAAAAAGAGCUCAUUUACCUUACUCUUAUGUUCCAGAAAAGGGCUAUUUCACUUACACAUAGAAUUGAAACCAGGGGUUUUAAUUUACACAUAAAAUCAGAACCCAGGCAUUUCUAAUAACCCAGAAAAUAAAAACCCAGAGUUUCCAGUUACUCAGAGGAUCAGAAACCAGAGUUUUCAGUUACCCAGGGCAUCAGAAUCUUCAGUUUUGAUUUACCUAGAGAAUAGAAAGUGGAGGAGACUAAACAAUCUAAUGGGACCUUGGUCUUAUUGUUAUCUCGAGGGGGGGCCAGUUUGACCCAGCCACCCUUAUAACUGGCUCUCUUCAUGGUUCUCUUAAAAUUUAGGCCUCCCUUGCGAGACGAGAAUCUUCACCAUCUGAAUCAUGAGUGCCGGUGCCCGUCGUCAGUCCCUUCUCUUUCCGUUACUGGACCUGGAUCUGGAUCUGGAUCUGGACACUCAUUACCAGCUUGUGCAUCUCACUGCUGAUAUCAUGAUGCUACUUAACUAUCUUCGCAGCACCCCCUCUAGGAAUGGAGAUCCGGGGUUCCCCCCUCUUCUUCGAUACAGAAUCUGCCUACAGCAUCUACAGCAAUCUACAGCAAAUAUGCUGUCCGAAAGAACACGUUAACAUCAAGGGCAACAAGUGCUGAGAUUGUGACGCUGAUGAAAAGGUGGCUGCAGCUGGCUUCAGACCGUGGAGGAGGAUGGAAGAGGUGCAACAAACAGUAGCUUGUCCUGACUAGGAACGCAUAAACCAUUGAAAUCAACGAGGAAAAAAUUCAGCAGUGAUCAGCCUGGAGCUCACGAGUGUAUGCCCAGGAUGACACUCUCUCCCUGGGCAAAGCCUGCGAACUUCGCCCAGAGCUCAGUCCAUGUACUUUCGGAAAUUUCGGCUGUGUGGUCUCGCCGUGAGUGAUGCUACUGUACUUUUGGACAUGUCAAAAUAUUAAGACAAUGGGAAUUCAGUUCAAACAUUUUAAUGAAAUAUUUACACACACACACACACACACACACACACACACACACACACACACACACACACACACACAGGGCCAUUAGCCAAAAACAACCGGCCUAUGUAGCACCUAUGCCCGCAGCGGACUCUAGCGCAGACUGGGCGGAGUGCGCCUCGCUGACCGACAGCUCCACGACUCAGCUAAUUGCUGUAGCACAUCGUCUUGGUCACGAGCAUGCGUUGUUCAUCUUUUGCGUUCGCACUGUGAACAGGAGACAUUUCUCUAUCACUUUAACGUUUAACACAUUGGAAUGAAUUUGUUAAAAAACAUUUUAAUCAUGCUUACGUAGGUUGCUAGAGCUGUGGGGAUGUCCGACACAGUGAUGUCUCUUCCCACGAGUGCCCGCAGGGCAAGCUUGACAUGCGCAGAAAUCCUGGCCUGUGUGCCAGAAAAGAAAAGCCACCCCACAGAAGUCUCAUAUCCCGGCAUAUGCUUCCUCAGG